CUGCACGUCUAGAGACACUAAUUAGUGCUGUCAUAAACACUCCCACAUGCCUGGGUGUUCACUUCACAUCACACAGGGCGAGUGGGCGGCGCUCCUCCCUCUGAGUCUCGGGUCUCAGACAGAAGGUUUGGCAGACUGUUACCAGUGACCUUUAUCAAAUCAUACAGUAAUGAGUUUGUCAGCUUAUGGUACUGGAACUUUGCUUCAGCGUUGUAGGUAAACUUUGUUGUGCUUUUAAUUGUUCUCAUUCAAUCAAAGAGAUAGUUCACCCCAAAAUGAAACUUCUGUCAUUUACUCACUAUGAUGUCUUUCCAAACCUCAACAAAUGACCAGAUCUCAUCACCAGAAGGCCAUUUGCUCUGACCACAGCCUCUAAACUAAAAAAAUUUAAAGGCUUCACUUGGUUUACAUGCUGUCUUGUUUUCCUCGCAAUGUCCAGGACCAGCUCUUUACAGAUUUGCGUGGUAAACUCACUCAGUUGAGAACCACUGUUAUAAAUGGAGUAAUGUGCUGAAAGAAGCAUUAAAGAUGCAUGAGAGGCCUACAAAUCCACUCUAAGAAUUUUCUUUUUCCUCGAGGACUGAAAUCUUUGAGUUUGUGAGCUGUAAAAGCUGCUUGAGGUUUAUCUCGUGCAACAGAGGAAGUGGUGCGGGAAGAAGAGCGCGUCGGCCCUAACGUUUUGUGUGUACAACAGGAUAUCCGAUGCUGGGAGCGUUAGCCUCGUGUCGAGAGCACAUCUGCUGUCUCGCCUUAUCGCUCCACGUUUUGGAGUGCAGACGUCUCAUUUCAGCUCGUCGCAAGUAGUAAUACGGCUCAAAGAAGUCAAACGUUGCCUAUCUGGAACUCGUCCCUUAUCAUACUUGUAGAUGUUCUGUGUACUUUUAAGUGCUGGAUUUACUCAUAGGCGAAAACAUUAAUUGCCAGUUGACUGACAGCUGGAAAACACAGGGAUUUCAUGCUGGGGCAACGGUAAUUGUUUUCAGAUUUGUUUUAGAGUGUCUUUUUGAUCAAAUUUGUGAGAGAGCGAGUGAGAGAGAAGGAAAGAAGGAGAGGGAGCCAGACACUACUCAUGGGGCCCAUUAGGAAAUUGCCAGUAAGCAAAGUUGCAAAUAAGCUGUCACACAGUACAAAUGAGAUUACCUUUCCAAUGUGCCCUGGAACCUGCACACCGGGGGAUGCAGAACCAGUCACGGCAAAACAAGGCACAAUCGUCUGAUUUAUCUCAGCGCUUGAUCUUCUGGUGGUGUUCUUUCUACCUCUGUUUUUCAUGCAUCGUGUGCAAAACAGUUUACAAAGCGCUUGCAGCACAAGUUAAUCAGUUGUAGACAACCUCUGAAGCGAGUCGACAGUGUUUCAAGUCAGGGAUUUUACUUAUAGUCAUCAGCGCUGAAUUUAUACACAUACAGAGAGACUUAGUUGCAUAUUUCGGUUUAAACCGUUUAUUUACUGCUCCUGCUUUUCACCUCUUGAUCAGUUUGUUGAUGAAUUGAUUUAUUUUCAUCUGUUGAGGAGAUCUGCAAAUGUCUCUUGCACUGUGUCAAAGGGUUUGAUUUUAUUUAUUUAUUUAAAUGAACAGAUUUAAUCUGCUUUUUUUGGAAAGGUCAAAAUAAAACCUUUUUACUGUAUCUUUGUUGUUUACUUUUUUGCUAUUUUUAAAUGCCUUUUAUCUGUAUAGAUUUUAUUGUAUUUCUCUUGUCCCAGAACUAAACCUUAAAAUAUGAAAAUCCAUAUUAAAAAUGUAAAUGCUGAUGAACUAUGAUAAUCUAAAACGUAAAUGAUUGUAUAUACAUUUUUUGCACUUUGUUUACACAUUUUCUGCACGCAAAUGUAAAAAAAGAGCAAAAAAUUUAUAUACAGUAAAUCAUUUGUUUAAAUAUUAGUUUAUUGUAGUUGUAUAUGAUGUAAAUGUGUAUAUACUCUCUUUCUCUGAUAUAUUUUGUUAUACAUUUAAAAAUUUU
Cyprinus carpio carpio is the source of this 1958-nucleotide long non-coding RNA. NCBI's taxonomy places the organism in Eukaryota, Metazoa, Chordata, Actinopteri, Cypriniformes, Cyprinidae. The record is from Ensembl.